CGAACGCUGGCGGCGUGCUUAACACAUGCAAGUCGAACGGAAAGGCCCUGCUUUUGUGGGGUGCUCGAGUGGCGAACGGGUGAGUAACACGUGAGUAACCUGCCCUUGACUUUGGGAUAACUUCAGGAAACUGGGGCUAAUACCGGAUAGGAGCUCCUGCUGCAUGGUGGGGGUUGGAAAGUUUCGGCGGUUGGGGAUGGACUCGCGGCUUAUCAGCUUGUUGGUGGGGUAGUGGCUUACCAAGGCUUUGACGGGUAGCCGGCCUGAGAGGGUGACCGGCCACAUUGGGACUGCGGUACGGCCCAGACUCCUACGGGAGGCAGCAGUGGGGAAUAUUGCACAAUGGGCGGAAGCCUGAUGCAGCAACGCCGCGUGCGGGAUGACGGCCUUCGGGUUGUAAACCGCUUUCGCCUGUGACGAAGCGUGAGUGACGGUAAUGGGUAAAGAAGCACCGGCUAACUACGUG
This 466-nucleotide ribosomal RNA is filed under the name uncultured bacterium. RNAcentral describes it as "partial 16S ribosomal RNA". It matches the Rfam family "Bacterial small subunit ribosomal RNA", at positions 30 to 507 of the family's 1533-position model. The record is from RNAcentral.